AGCAGAGUAGAGCAACGGUAGCUCACUUGGUUCAUACCCAAGAGGUAGCAGGUUCGACUCCUGCCUCUGCAACCA
This 75-nucleotide transfer RNA is filed under the name Brucella abortus. RNAcentral's name for it is "tRNA-Met". It matches the Rfam family "tRNA". Rfam says of the family: Transfer RNA (tRNA) molecules are approximately 80 nucleotides in length. Lineage: Bacteria; Pseudomonadati; Pseudomonadota; Alphaproteobacteria; Hyphomicrobiales; Brucellaceae. The record is from RNAcentral. RNAcentral also lists the same sequence under 5 other names.